UACAGAGGUGGCAAGCGUUGUUCGGAAUUACUGGGCGUAAAGGGCGCGUAGGCGGCCAUCUAAGUCAGACGUGAAAUCCCCCGGCUUAACCUGGGAACUGCGUCUGAUACUGGAAGGCUUGAGUAUGGGAGAGGGAUGUAGAAUUCCAGGUGUAGCAGUGAAAUGCGUAGAUAUCUGGAGGAAUACCGGUGGCGAAGGCGGCAUCCUGGACCAUUACUGACGCUGAGGCGCGAAAGCGUGGGGAGCAAACGGG
Molecule: ribosomal RNA, 253 nt
Filed under: uncultured bacterium
Lineage: Bacteria
Description: partial 16S ribosomal RNA
Rfam family: Bacterial small subunit ribosomal RNA
Source: RNAcentral